Molecule: ribosomal RNA, 295 nt
Filed under: uncultured rumen bacterium
Lineage: Bacteria
Description: partial 16S ribosomal RNA
Rfam family: Bacterial small subunit ribosomal RNA
Source: RNAcentral
UCUGGAAACGGAUGGUAAUACCUCAUGACAUAUCGGGACCGCAUGAUUCUGAUAUCAAAGAUUUAUCACUCUGAGAUGGGCUCGCGUCUGAUUAGCUAGAUGGUGAGGUAACGGCCCACCAUGGCGACGAUCAGUAGCCGGACUGAGAGGUUGAACGGCCACAUUGGGACUGAGACACGGCCCAGACUCCUACGGGAGGCAGCAGUGGGGAAUAUUGCACAAUGGGGGAAACCCUGAUGCAGCGAUGCCGCGUGGAGGAAGAAGGUUUUCGGAUUGUAAACUCCUGUCUUAAAGG